This 458-nucleotide ribosomal RNA is filed under the name uncultured bacterium. RNAcentral describes it as "partial 16S ribosomal RNA". It matches the Rfam family "Bacterial small subunit ribosomal RNA", at positions 338 to 795 of the family's 1533-position model. The record is from RNAcentral.
CCUACGGGAGGCAGCAGUGAGGAAUUUUGGUCAAUGGGCGAGAGCCUGAACCAGCCAAGUCGCGUGAGGGAGUACUGCCCUAUGGGUUGUAAACCUCUUUUGUCGGGGAGCAAAAGCCGGACGUGUCCGGCUGUGAGAGUACCCGAAGAAAAAGCAUCGGCUAACUCCGUGCCAGCAGCCGCGGUAAUACGGAGGAUGCGAGCGUUAUCCGGAUUUAUUGGGUUUAAAGGGUGCGCAGGCGGAUUUUUAAGUCAGCGGUAAAAUCGUGGGGCUCAACCCCAUCCAGCCGUUGAAACUGGGGAUCUAGAGUGUGCGAGAGGUAUGCGGAAUGCGUGGUGUAGCGGUGAAAUGCAUAGAUAUCACGCAGAACCCCGAUUGCGAAGGCAGCAUACCGGUGCACAACUGACGCUCAGGCACGAAAGCGUGGGUAUCGAACAGGAUUAGAUACCCGGGUAGUC